AUGGCCUGGACUCCACUCUUUCUUCUCAGCCUUCUUUACUGCACAGGGUCCCUCUCUCAGCCUGUCCUGACUCAGUCACCUUCUGCAUCUGCCACCCUGGAAACCUUAGUAGAGAUCAAGUGUACCUUGAACAGUGGUUACAGUAGUAACUUUGUGGACUGGUUCCAGCAGAGCCCAGGAAAAGGCAUCAGGUAUAUAAUGUCUGUGGGCUCCAGUGGCAUGGUAGUCUCCUUGGGAGAUGGGAUCCCUGAUCGCUUUACAGGCUCAGCUUUGGGCCUGGAUCGUUUCCUGACAAUUGAGAACAUCCAGGAAGAGGAUGAGGCUGACUACUACUGUGGGACUGCCGAGAGCAGUGAGAGUAGCUAUGUGUAA
Suncus etruscus (white-toothed pygmy shrew) is the source of this 372-nucleotide non-coding RNA. The record is from the annotation of a RefSeq genome assembly. Lineage: Eukaryota; Metazoa; Chordata; Mammalia; Eulipotyphla; Soricidae.